Molecule: ribosomal RNA, 254 nt
Filed under: uncultured bacterium
Lineage: Bacteria
Description: partial 16S ribosomal RNA
Rfam family: Bacterial small subunit ribosomal RNA
Source: RNAcentral
UACGUAGGGGGCAAGCGUUGUCCGGAUUUACUGGGCGUAAAGGGCGCGUAGGCGGCCACCGCAAGUCGAUUGUGAAAUCUCCGGGCUUAACCCGGAAAGGUCAACCGAUACUGCGGGGCUAGAGUGCAGAAGGGGCAACUGGAAUUCUCGGUGUAGCGGUGAAAUGCGUAGAUAUCGAGAGGAACACCUGCGGCGAAGGCGGGUUGCUGGGCUGACACUGACGCUGAGGCGCGAAAGCUAGGGGAGCGAACGGG